This 497-nucleotide ribosomal RNA is filed under the name uncultured bacterium. Its description in RNAcentral is "partial 16S ribosomal RNA". It matches the Rfam family "Bacterial small subunit ribosomal RNA", at positions 28 to 507 of the family's 1533-position model. The record is from RNAcentral.
GAUGAACGCUGGCGGCGUGCCUAAUACAUGCGAGUCGAGCGAACGGACGAGAAGCUUGUUUCUCUGAUGUUAGCGGCGGACGGGUGAGUAACACGUGGAUAACCUACCUAUAAGACUGGGAUAACUUCGGGAAACCGGAGCUAAUACCGGAUAAUAAUUUGAACCGCAUGGUUCAAAAGUGAAAGACGGUCUUGCUGUCACCUAUAGAUGGAUCCGCGCUGCAUUAGCUAGUUGGUAAGGUAACGGCUUACCAAGGCAACGAUGCAUAGCCGACCUGAGAGGGUGAUCGGCCACACUGGAACUGAGACACGGUCCAGACUCCUACGGGAGGCAGCAGUAGGGAAUCUUCCGCAAUGGGCGAAAGCCUGACGGAGCAACGCCGCGUGGGUGAUGAAGGUCUUCGGAUCUUAAAACUCUGUUAUUAGGGAAGAACAUAUGUGUAAGUAACUGUGCACAUCUUGACGGUACCUAAUCAGAAAGCCACGGCUAACUACGUG